UCCAAAUACAUGACAUACUCAUCGCACAGGCCCACAAGCCUUAUAAUAGACCCAGUACAACUGAUAACUGAACCAAGUUACUCCAGGGAUAACAGCGCCAUCUUCUUCAAGAGUCCAUAUCAAAAAGAAGGUUUACGACCUCGAUGUUGGAUCAGGACAUCCUAAUGGUGCAGCCGCUAUUAAGGGUUCGUUUGUUCAACGAUUAACAGUCCUACGUGA
Molecule: ribosomal RNA, 219 nt
Filed under: Tropidodipsas fasciata
Lineage: Eukaryota; Metazoa; Chordata; Lepidosauria; Squamata; Dipsadidae
Description: partial large subunit ribosomal RNA
Rfam family: Bacterial large subunit ribosomal RNA (bases 88-219)
Source: RNAcentral